This 78-nucleotide ribosomal RNA is filed under the name Fusarium solani. RNAcentral's name for it is "partial 28Sribosomal RNA". It matches the Rfam family "Eukaryotic large subunit ribosomal RNA", at positions 1 to 81 of the family's 3401-position model. The record is from RNAcentral. Lineage: Eukaryota; Fungi; Ascomycota; Sordariomycetes; Hypocreales; Nectriaceae.
CUCGAAUCAGGUAGGAAUUACCCGCUGAACUUAAGCAUAUCAAUAAGCGGAGGAAAAGAAACCAACAGGGAUUGCCCC